This 73-nucleotide transfer RNA is filed under the name Noturus gyrinus (tadpole madtom). RNAcentral describes it as "tRNA-Asn". Lineage: Eukaryota; Metazoa; Chordata; Actinopteri; Siluriformes; Ictaluridae. The record is from RNAcentral.
UAGAUGAAUGCUCGCUGGCUGGAGCGCUUAGCUGUUAACUAGGAAUUUGUAGGAUCGAGGCCUUCUCAUCUAG